Molecule: long non-coding RNA, 2369 nt
Organism: Oncorhynchus gorbuscha (pink salmon)
Lineage: Eukaryota; Metazoa; Chordata; Actinopteri; Salmoniformes; Salmonidae
Exons: 2
Source: RefSeq, a predicted model, not a curated record
UCUCUCUCUCUCUCUCUCUCUCUCUCUCUCUCUCUCUCUCUCUCUCUCUCUCUCUCUCUCUCUCUCUCUCUCUCUCUCCCUCUCUCUCUUUCUCUAUUUACACUCAGUAUAGUAUGAAAUAGUGUGAUUUCAGUUACAAUUCAACACAGCGGUUUCCCUCUGAAUCAAGGCCUGGGAUUCAAUCUGCAGCUGUGCGAUUGUCUAAUUCGAUCUCACGAAAGAGGUAGCAUUGGCUUUAAAAGCAGCAUUGUCUACAAGCGCGAUCGGAUUGAAUCCCGGUCCAACACUUUUUAUUUUUAUUAUUUUUUAUUUCAUUUGUUCACUUACUUGGAAAAGUUGUUCAGAACUUGUUGUUGUGGCAUUUCACUAGCUUGCAGCACAAACCAACCGUGUGUAUUUUAAAGCUAACGUAAUUGAUAUGAUAAUACCAUUGCAUCUUGGGAUAGAGAUGUCUGAUCUGGACUGAGUUGGUAGGUUUUUUAUUUUUAAAUGUUACCCCUCGGUCAGUUCCCAGACUCCGAGCCGUAUAGAGUACCAUUUUAAUGAAUUUAGGAAAAGUUCAGCUUUCAGGAAUGAAAAAGAAAAAACAAGCUUUUAAAUAGGUUUUAUUAUCUUUUCUACAAGCGCUAUAACAAAAACUAUUGUACAGCGUAAAUUUUUGUAUGAAGUAGUGUUUUUAUUUAGAAUUUUGAAAAAAUGAUUGUGUUCUUCUUGUGUCCCACCUUUUGAAUUUCUGUAGUUGAAAAUGAAAUUCAUAUGAUGCCUUUUAUUCUGAUAGUGCUUGUUAUGAAGUGGUGGGAUAGAUAGGUGAUAACCAUACUGAGCUCUUGUUAUGAUAGGACAGUGGACUGAAGUGGUGGGAUAGAUAGGUGAUAACCAUACUGAGCUCUUGUUAUGAUAGGACUGUGGACUGAAGUGGUGGGAUAGAUAGGUGAUAACCAUACUGAGCUCUUGUUAUGAUAGGACUGUGGACUGAAGUGGUGGGAUAGAUAGGUGAUAACCAUACUGAGCUCUUGUUAUGAUAGGACUGUGGACUGAAGUGGUGGGAUAGAUAGGUGAUAACCAUACUGAGCUCUUGUUAUGAUAGGACUGUGUACUGAAGUGGUGGGAUAGAUAGGUGAUAACCAUACUGAGCUCUUGUUAUGAUAGGACUGUGGACUGAAGUGGUGGUAUAGAUAGGUGAUAACCAUACUGAGCUCUUGUUAUGAUAGGACUGUGGACUGAAGUGGUGGGAUAGAUAGGUGAUAACCAUACUGAGCUCUUGUUAUGAUAGGACUGUGGACUGAAGUGGUGGGAUAGAUAGGUGAUAACCAUACUGAGCUCUUGUUAUGAUAGGACUGUGGACUGAAGUGGUGGGAUAGAUAGGUGAUAACCAUACUGAGCUCUUGUUAUGAUAGGACUGUGGACUGAAGUGGUAGGAUAGAUAGGUGAUAACCGUACUGAGCUCUUGUUAUGAUAGGACUGUGGACUGAAGUGGUGGGAUAGAUAGGUGAUAACCAUACUGAGCUCUUGUUAUGAUAGGACUGUGGACUGAAGUGGUGGGAUAGAUAGGUGAUAACCAUACUGAGCUCUUGUUAUGAUAGGACUGUGGACUGAAGUGGUGGGAUAGAUAGGUGAUAACCAUACUGAGCUCUUGUUAUGAUAGGACUGUGGACUGAAGUGGUGGGAUAGAUAGGUGAUAACCAUACUGAGCUCUUGUUAUGAUAGGACUGUGGACUGAAGUGGUGGGAUAGAUAGGUGAUAACCAUACUGAGAGAUAAAAGAAGAAGAAAAAGCCACUACUUCCCCCGAAGACAAAGGGGUUAUUAAGAACAUACAUACAUGUGCUAUCAACUGUGAAUUUCUUAAGACAGGAACUGCUUCUAGGUCCGUUUCUAUGCCUCCCCCCCCUUCCCCAACUCCUCUGCACAUGCUCACUGUUGCUAUGCUGGUGUCGUUGCGGUGAUGACCGAUCUCUGUUCCCCCUGGCAACGGCAGCAAAACAACAUACUUCUCUCUCUCUCUCUCUACAUUUGUGAUUUCUCUCUCUCUCUCUCUCUCUCUCUCUCUCUCUAAAAGCAACUUCUCCCCCAUAGCUCUUUCAGGGGGACUACAUAUUGCUGCUAGAUUAAGGUAUCAGAUAGGUAGGUAGACAACGGAAAAAUGUUUUUAUAGAAUUCAUACGUACAGCAAAAUACUUGUUUUUAUUUUUAUUAUGUUGCAAUUAUAAAUGCAAAACUGGAAAUACUUUCACUAAUAACAUGGAGCCUCGUGGAGGAAAAAACACAAAAAGGUUUGUUGAGCAAAAAUAAAAAGAUGUGUACAGAUGUUUUUUGACAUUAUUAUUUGAUUGUGUUUAAAUUAAUAAAAAAUUGAUUUGUGAACUGUUA